RNAcentral lists this ribosomal RNA (386 nucleotides) under Hexadella sp. JCR-2010. Its description in RNAcentral is "eukaryotic LSU rRNA". It matches the Rfam family "Eukaryotic large subunit ribosomal RNA", at positions 857 to 1241 of the family's 3401-position model. Lineage: Eukaryota; Metazoa; Porifera; Demospongiae; Verongiida; Ianthellidae. The record is from RNAcentral.
GGAAACCCUGGUGGAAGCCCGAAGCGAUUCUGACGUGCAAAUCGAUCGUCUGAUUUGGGUAUAGGGGCGAAAGACUAAUCGAACCAUCUAGUAGCUGGUUCCCUCCGAAGUUUCCCUCAGGAUAGCUGGAACCCGUGUGUGCAGUUUUAUCAGGUAAAGCGAAUGAUUAGAGGUCUUGGGGUUGAAACAACCUCAACCUAUUCUCAAACUUUAAAUAGGUAAGAAGUCCGACUUGCUCAAGUGAAGCCGGACGUCGAAUGCAGGGUUCCUAGUGGGCCAUUUUUGGUAAGCAGAACUGGCGAUGCGGGAUGAACCGAAAGCCGGGUUAAGGUGCCAAAGUCGACGCUCAUCAGACCCCACAAAAGGUGUUGGUUGAUCCAGACAGC